Molecule: non-coding RNA, 85 nt
Organism: Felis catus (domestic cat)
Lineage: Eukaryota; Metazoa; Chordata; Mammalia; Carnivora; Felidae
Source: Rfam
GCCUGGGUGGCUCAGUCGGUUAAGUGUCUGACUUCAGCUCAGGUCAUGAUCUGACAGUUUGUGAGUUCGAGCCCCAUAUCGGGCU